Non-coding RNA from Hymenopellis radicata, 93 nucleotides. Lineage: Eukaryota; Fungi; Basidiomycota; Agaricomycetes; Agaricales; Physalacriaceae. The record is from the annotation of a GenBank genome assembly.
GGGGACAUAGCUCAGUUGGGAGAGCAACAGACUGAAGUGGCGCCAAUCCUUGUUCCUUUCUGGAGGUCCCCAGUUCAAUCCUGGGUGUCCCCA